CAUAAAACACACCUUUGGAUUUUUAAAAACAAACAAACAAAGCACUAAGCACACACAUCUCAUACUGAUUUCACGUUAAUAUUACCAUCUCAUGAGCCUUCCUCUGUUCUUGGUCAAAAGGGUGAAGCACUUGCAGCCCACAUAUUUCACACACGUCCCCGUGCAGGUAAAGGCAGCGGUCCCCGAAGUGGCACGCUCCUGCUGCAGCGUAAGGACACAGCUGCUCUCCAUCACCAAAGGAACUUCCAGCUACUGGAUCUUCCAGCCCACUGCAAAUAGCUUCCAAAUAUGAAUGGGGCUUCAUUUCCACAUUAUCACUUUUGUCACUGCAACACACCACAUCAUUUGUGGCGCUGGCUUUUUCCUUCUCUUCAUUCAAGCCACACAGAUUUCUGUCCCUGAGCACAAGUGUUUUCUUCUCCCGUUUGCCACUCUCACGCAGCUUGCUCUUGGCUGCAGGUGCGCUGUGCUCAGGCGCAGGGCGAGGGCUGAGCAGCGCUGCUGACGCCAUGGGAGGAGGCGCAGGAGCUGCUGCACCCCCCGAGGCAGGGAGCCUGAUGUGGUCGUACCUGCAGCGGGCUCCAUAGGCGCACUGCCCCUUCUGGUAGUACUUGCAGACGGUGGAGGACUUGCUGCUGGACAGGUCGUGCGAGAACAGACACUUGCUUCCCUCCCGGCACACUCCCUGCACGUAGUACCUGCACGUCACCUGCUUGGUGCUCAUCUUCGCCCCGCUCCGGCCUCCCCGCCCGGCCGGCUCCGCGCGCCGCACGCCCGGGUUCCGCUCCGCCGCGGGGAAGGGGCGGGGCCGACACGGACACAAUUACCCGACGCGCCGCACCACAGAGACGCGGCGCGGCGGGAUAGAGCGCCGCUCGGCGGGAGCCAUGGAGGAGGCCGCCAUCCUGCGCGUGCGGCACUGCGG
RNAcentral lists this long non-coding RNA (925 nucleotides) under Gallus gallus (chicken). The record is from RNAcentral. Lineage: Eukaryota; Metazoa; Chordata; Aves; Galliformes; Phasianidae.